RNAcentral lists this unclassified non-coding RNA (374 nucleotides) under uncultured Geodermatophilaceae bacterium. RNAcentral describes it as "contains 16S-23S intergenic spacer region". The record is from RNAcentral. Lineage: Bacteria; Bacillati; Actinomycetota; Actinomycetes; Geodermatophilales; Geodermatophilaceae.
UCCAGUAUAUCACUGGCAGUCUCCUAUGAGUCCCCACCAUGACGUGCUGGCAACAUAGAACGAGGGUUGCGCUCGUUGCGGGACUUAACCCAACAUCUCACGACACGAGCUGACGACAACCAUGCACCACCUGUGCACGGCCCUUACGGACCCACCAUCUCUGGAGGAUUUCCGUGCAUGUCAAGCCUAGGUAAGGUUCUUCGCGUUGCAUCGAAUUAAGCAACAUGCUCCGCCGCUUGUGCGGGCCCCCGUCAAUUCCUUUGAGUUUUAAUCUUGCGACCGUACUCCCCAGGCGGAAUGCUUAAUCCGUUAGGUGUGACACCGAAGGGCAAGCCCCCCGACGUCUGGCAUUCAUCGUUUACGGCGUGGACUAC